Molecule: ribosomal RNA, 425 nt
Filed under: uncultured eukaryotic phytoplankton
Lineage: Eukaryota
Description: bacterial SSU rRNA
Rfam family: Bacterial small subunit ribosomal RNA
Source: RNAcentral
GGAAUUUUCCGCAAUGGGCGAAAGCCUGACGGAGCAAUACCGCGUGAGGGAAGACGGCCUAUGGGUUGUAAACCUCUUUUUUCAGGGAGGAAUCACUGACGUGUACCUGAAGAAUAAGCAUCGGCUAACUCCGUGCCAGCAGCCGCGGUAAGACGGAGGAUGCAAGUGUUAUCCGGAAUCACUGGGCGUAAAGCGUCUGUAGGUGGUUGAACAAGUCAACUGUUAAAUCUUGAGGCUUAACUUCAAAAUCGCAGUCGAAACUGUUUGACUAGAGUAUAGUAGGGGUAAAGGGAAUUUCCGGUGGAGCGGUGAAAUGCGUAGAUAUCGGAAGGAACACCAAUAUGGCGAAGGCACUGUACUGGGCUUUUCCUGACGCUAAGAGACGAAAGCUGAAGGAGUGAUUAGGAUUAGAUACCCCUGUAGUC